GAUCAUGGCUCAGGAUGAACGCUAGCUACAGGCUUAACACAUGCAAGUCGAGGGGCAGCAUUUUAGUUUGCUUGCAAACUAAAGAUGGCGACCGGCGCACGGGUGAGUAACACGUAUCCAACCUGCCGAUAACUCGGGGAUAGCCUUUCGAAAGAAAGAUUAAUAUCCGAUGGUAUAUUAAAACCGCAUGGUUUUACUAUUAAAGAAUUUCGGUUAUCGAUGGGGAUGCGUUCCAUUAGUUUGUUGGCGGGGUAACCGG
Molecule: ribosomal RNA, 259 nt
Filed under: uncultured bacterium
Lineage: Bacteria
Description: partial 16S ribosomal RNA
Rfam family: Bacterial small subunit ribosomal RNA
Source: RNAcentral